GACGAACGCUGGCGGCGUGCUUAACACAUGCAAGUCGAACGGUAAGGCCCUUCGGGGUACACGAGUGGCGAACGGGUGAGUAAUACGUGGGUGAUCUGCCCUGCACUUCGGGAUAAGCCUGGGAAACUGGGUCUAAUACCGGAUAGGACCCUGGGAUGCAUGUCCUGGGGUGGAAAGCUUUUGCGGUGUGGGAUGGGCCCGCGGCCUAUCAGCUUGUUGGUGGGGUGAUGGCCUACCAAGGCGACGACGGGGAGCCGGCCUGAGAGGGUGACCGGCCACACUGGGACUGAGAUACGGCCCAGACUCCUACGGGAGGCAGCAGUGGGAAAUAUUGCACAAUGGGCGCAAGCCUGAUGCAGCGACGCCGCGUGAGGGAUGACGGCCUUCGGGUUGUAAACCUCUUUCAGCACCGACGAAGCGCAAGUGACGGUAGGUGCAGAAGAAGGACCGGCCAACUACGUGCCAGCCGCCGCCGUAA
Molecule: ribosomal RNA, 478 nt
Filed under: uncultured bacterium
Lineage: Bacteria
Description: partial 16S ribosomal RNA
Rfam family: Bacterial small subunit ribosomal RNA
Source: RNAcentral